CUUGGCUCAGCCUAAGAAUUUUGAGAUUCCUCCGUGUUGUGUGUAUCAGUUCAUUCUUCUCUGUUAGUGGAUAGUACUCCCUCGUGUGGAUAUACCACAGUUUCUUGAUCCAUCCACCUGCUGAUGGAUAUUGGGACAUUUCCUCUCCUGUGUCUUUUUCACAUUGCUUCCUCCACCCAGAAUGGGUUUUUCCUUCAGCCCCACUGGACUCCCUAACCUCCCACAAAUAAAAUCUGCCUACAUGGGAACACAAACAUUAACUCCCAUCAAAACUCACUGACUGAGACAUCUUUCUGAGCUUACAGAAGUGGCCCUCUCUCCUCAGCAACCCCACUUCUUCCCAUGUUUAUAGUGGUGUUUUCCCCAGGGGAUCAUGAUUUCCUCAAGAGCAGGGACCAUGUCUUAAUUACCUAAAUAGUGUCAGCCCCCCGUACAGCAUCCAGGAUGGGAGAUGUUGGGGGGCAGGAAUUGGGUGGGUCAUCAAGGGAUAGUGGCCUGGUGGAUGAGCCUGAGGGCAAAUCUAACUUUCAGAAGGGAGGUUGGCAGAAACUAGGCAAGCCCAAGGCCUGGAAAGGGACUAGAGACCCCUAUGGACAGUCUGACAGGAAAUCCUGUGGAACAAACUCAGCUUGAAUGUGAUGUGCAGUUGUCCAGGCUCACUCCUGGUAGCAGUUCCAGGCGACUUAAUUCCAAGCCCCCAGGCUUCACAUCAGAGGCUGAGUCCCACAUGGUCCCUGUGGAGAUCAGCUUAAGAGCCUGGGAGAAUGGAGCCCCUAGGUGGGGCAUGAGUGAGCCCACCUACAAGGGACUGGUGACUGGAGUCCUGGCAUGUGCUCUUCCAUUUUGAGGUGAGGCUGUCCCUUUUGCAGCCACCAGUCUCCUUCUGGGAAAGAAAGGGCAUCAUUUGCUUCAUUAGCGAAGAUGGAACUGAUGUCAGCAAGCCAGGGAAGCGUAGAAUCCCAGGAAGAAGGAGUCUGGAGUUGGAGCAUGGCCCUCAUCCUGC
This 1003-nucleotide long non-coding RNA is filed under the name Callithrix jacchus (white-tufted-ear marmoset). Its description in RNAcentral is "lncRNA (ENSCJAG00000085196.1)". The record is from RNAcentral. Lineage: Eukaryota; Metazoa; Chordata; Mammalia; Primates; Cebidae.